Molecule: ribosomal RNA, 253 nt
Filed under: uncultured bacterium
Lineage: Bacteria
Description: partial 16S ribosomal RNA
Rfam family: Bacterial small subunit ribosomal RNA
Source: RNAcentral
UACAGAGGGGGCAAGCGUUGUUCGGAAUUACUGGGCGUAAAGGGCGCGUAGGCGGCCUUCUAAGUCGAACGUGAAAUCCCCGGGCUCAACCCGGGAACUGCGUCUGAUACUGGAUGGCUUGAGUUCGGGAGAGGGAUGCGGAAUUCCAGGUGUAGCGGUGAAAUGCGUAGAUAUCUGGAGGAACACCGGUGGCGAAGGCGGCAUCCUGGACCGACACUGACACUGAGGAGCGAAAGCCAGGGGAGCAAACGGG